RNAcentral lists this unclassified non-coding RNA (284 nucleotides) under plant metagenome. Its description in RNAcentral is "partial contains small subunit ribosomal RNA, internal transcribed spacer 1, and 5.8S ribosomal RNA". The stretch from base 1 to 53 matches the Rfam family "Eukaryotic small subunit ribosomal RNA", at positions 1778 to 1831 of the family's 1831-position model. The record is from RNAcentral.
GGAAGUAAAGGUCUAACAAGGUUUCCGUAGGUGAACCUGCGGAAGGAUCAUUAUUGUAUAACCGAGGUGCGAGGGCUGUCGCUGACCCGAAAGGUCGUGCACGCCCGAGUGCCCUCACACACAUCCAUCUCACCCCUAUGUGCACCACCGCGUGGGUCCCCCUUUGGCUUGUUCGGAGGGGGGCUUACGUUUUCACACAAACUUUGUAUGCAGUGUAGAAUGUAUUUUUUGUUUUUGCGAUCACGCAAUCAAUACAACUUUCAACAACGGAUCUCUUGGCUCUC